CAGCCGCCGCGGUAAUCCAGAGGAUGCAAGCGUUAUCCGGAAUGAUUGGGCGUAAAGCGUCUGUAGGUGGCUUUUCAAGUCCGCCGUCAAAUCCCAGGGCUCAACCCUGGACAGGCGGUGGAAACUACCAAGCUGGGGUACGGUAGGGGCAGAGGGAAUUUCCGGUGGAGCGGUGAAAUGCGUAGAGAUCUGGAGGAAUACCGAUGGCGAAGGCAGCCAUCUGGCCUAAUACUGACGCUGAGGUACGAAAGCAUGGGGAGCAAACAGGAUUAGAUACCCCAGUAGUCCCUGUCUCUUAUAA
RNAcentral lists this ribosomal RNA (301 nucleotides) under uncultured bacterium. RNAcentral describes it as "partial 16S ribosomal RNA". It matches the Rfam family "Bacterial small subunit ribosomal RNA", at positions 509 to 809 of the family's 1533-position model. The record is from RNAcentral.